RNAcentral lists this ribosomal RNA (441 nucleotides) under uncultured bacterium. RNAcentral describes it as "partial 16S ribosomal RNA". It matches the Rfam family "Bacterial small subunit ribosomal RNA", at positions 338 to 795 of the family's 1533-position model. The record is from RNAcentral.
CCUACGGGUGGCAGCAGUGGGGGAUAUUGCACAAUGGGGGAAACCCUGAUGCAGCGACGCCGCGUGGGUGAAGAAGUAUUUCGGUAUGUAAAGCCCUAUCAGCAGGGAAGAAAGAAGACGGUACCUGACUAAGAAGCCCCGGCUAACUACGUGCCAGCAGCCGCGGUAAUACGUAGGGGGCGAGCGUUAUCCGGAUUCACUGGGCGUAAAGGGAGCGUAGACGGCCGUGCAAGCCAGGAGUGAAAGCCCGGGGCCCAACCCCGGGACUGCUCUUGGAACUGUGCGGCUGGAGUGCGGGAGGGGCAGGCGGAAUUCCUGGUGUAGCGGUGAAAUGCGUAGAUAUCAGGAGGAACACCGGCGGCGAAGGCGGCCUGCUGGACCGCGACUGACGUUGAGGCUCGAAAGCGUGGGGAGCGAACAGGAUUAGAUACCCUUGUAGUC